Molecule: non-coding RNA, 117 nt
Organism: Myotis brandtii (Brandt's bat)
Lineage: Eukaryota; Metazoa; Chordata; Mammalia; Chiroptera; Vespertilionidae
Source: Rfam
CCAGCAGCCCCUUUUCUUCCAGACCAAAGGGUGUGCACCCGCCCGGGGAUGAGGCCUGGUCUGUGGAAUUGAACUUAGCUCCGCGGGCCGACGGCUCGGCCCAGGGUGGUAUGCAAC